GUCUGCUGCCCACCCAGGAGGCCCACGGGGAUGGGAGGGGAGGAGAGUCCUCGGUCGGCUGCGCACGCUGAGGGAGGCCAGCAGGGUCCAGAGCUGGAGGGGCCUGUGGGCACGCCGCUGUGGGGAGCGGACAGCUGGCCGGGGCCUGCGGCACUGUGGGCCGCUCUGCUUGGCUGGCGGGCAUCUCGUGGGCCCCUGGGGUGGGGAGCGGCCGAGCGCCAGCACCCUGGGGUCGGGUGGGGCUCCCAGAGACAGGCUGUCCUGUGUCCGUCUGCACCCGCUCUGGUUGGGGGCCCGGCCGGCCAGGCAGGCCCAGCCUCCUGGGCUGGCUCUCUCAGGGUGAAGGCCUCGGCACCAUCGCACUCUCCCUCCGGUCCGUUUUUCCAUCUCACACCCGAAACCCAGCGUUUGUCGGCUGAGGGGCCCGGAACUGCCAGCGGCCCCGGAGCAGGAGUGGGGGUCGGCGUUGUGGGUGCUCCCCCAAGCCUUUCUACCCCGGGGGGGGGUGUGGGGGUGCCCCCGAGCCUGGGUGAGGACAGGCCAGCCUCCCGGCCUCCGUGGGGAAGAGGGUGUCCGUUCUUUGCCCUCCAGGGUCCAGCCCAGGCUGAGCGAGAGGCGCCUGGGCUGACCGUGUGGAGGACCCCACAGACGUCUCCUUGCUCUGGGGCCCCCAUUCCCGCCCCCAGGAGACGUGUCCCCGGCCGCCCCAGCACCCGCCCCACCCGCCCUCUGCAGCAGAGGUGGGGCGAGCCGGGGCCUGCCCAGCACCCCUGGAAGUCUCGGCCGCCUUGGGGGUGUGGUAGUGUCAGCAGAGUGACGCAGGCACCCCGGUGGUCCUCCCCCUGGGGUCCCCCCGGUGGUGGGUUUGUAAGGCUGCCCCUCACCCCGCACCCAGUGCCUUCUGCAGCUGGACACACCCCGUCCACGCCCCGCCCGCCCCGCUGCCCUGGACCACUCUGGAGCCCAGGAGAGGGCCCUGUGGGGGCUGGCCUGGGGGCCCCCCUGCCGCCCCGCCCGAAGCCCCCGGCACCCCCUCCCCCGGCCUCCUGCCUCGCCCCGCACCGGGCCCCCGGUGUCUUGGGGACAAGUCCCCCGUCUUCUCCUCGGGCACUGUCCUCGUAGCAUCCUUGCUGUGUUUGAAAAGGUGGGGAAAUGGCACGUUAUUCGGUAGAUAGACGUUUUCUUUAACCAGACCUUCAGUAGACCGAUCUGGUUCAAUUAAGGUGAUUUUUUUUGGUAAUUAUUAUUUUGGUGGGACAGUCUUUAAUUUUCUAAAGAUAGCACUAACGUCAGCUUGUUGGCCAUCCUGUGCCAUCCCCACUUGCUGGAUGCUUCCGGCAGGCACCCCCCCACCCCAGCAUCACCUCCCGCUCAGUCAUCAGGCGGGGCAGCCGCGGCCGAGGAGCAAAGACGACUGUGUCUCAGGUUCGGAAGGUGUCGGCCAGGCCAGCCUCUGGCUUGUCCCCCACUGGGCGAUUCCUUGGAAGCUGGCCCACCCGGGGACGUCUGUGCAGAGGGCACUCGCGUCAGCUGCUGGCCCUCAUCCCCCCGGGGGAGGAUGGCCCCCCACCCUGGGCGUCCCAGGAGGGUUUGGGCUGGCAGACCCCCCGGGCCAAGUGCUGGAGACCACGCCGCACUCCCUGCUCCGCGGAGGCCCUGGUUGGGCCCAGCCGGAACGUCCAGCUGGAGCGUGACGGGCUGACGUUGCUCCCACCGUGGGAUUUGGUCCCUGCCCACGCAGAGGUGAAGGCUCUCUGAGUCGACGUCGGGACGCCGGACGGGCGCGCGGGCCUCGGACGACACUGCUGCGGGCGAGAAGGUGGGCCUGGAAUUCUCGAGGGUUUUCCUCCCCUUCCGAGUAACGUUCACGCCUCGCUCUGCGCUCUCCCCGUGGCCAGCUGGCCUUCCCGGGACUGACUGUGAAAUUACUUCCCCCCACGUGACUGUUCUCAAAAGCAUCGCGGCCGCAGGUGCCGGGCGAACAAUGGUGUCAGAAUUGUGGAAAAGAGACUCGGAGCAAAACGGGAGAGGAGAAGCAAAACAUGAGCGUUUGAAAACAC
Molecule: long non-coding RNA, 2060 nt
Organism: Capra hircus (goat)
Lineage: Eukaryota; Metazoa; Chordata; Mammalia; Artiodactyla; Bovidae
Product: basic proline-rich protein
Exons: 2
Source: RefSeq, a predicted model, not a curated record